UCUUUCCCUUUGUGACAUACCUAACCGUUGCUUCGGCGGGCAGGGGAAGCCUCU
RNAcentral lists this ribosomal RNA (54 nucleotides) under Colletotrichum nymphaeae. RNAcentral's name for it is "partial 18S ribosomal RNA". Lineage: Eukaryota; Fungi; Ascomycota; Sordariomycetes; Glomerellales; Glomerellaceae. The record is from RNAcentral.